This is a long non-coding RNA of Oreochromis aureus, 1125 nucleotides long. The record is from Ensembl. Lineage: Eukaryota; Metazoa; Chordata; Actinopteri; Cichliformes; Cichlidae.
AAACCCAGGAAGCAUGGCCUAAAUAAGGAACAAAAUACAUGAAAACUAAGAAUACUGGGCCAACGUGGCCCAGGACCAUGACAGGGGAUGGAAGGAGGAAGAGAGGCAAAGAGUGAUUCACAGGCAGAGCCUUGUUUAUUUCUCAGUUUUUUGUUGCCUUAUGGUUCCAAGCACUGUCACCAAUCUUUGCAUUUUGUUGUUAUCUCAUGACACUUGUUUAAUCAGCUACCAUCUCUCCUAUGGACUUUUUAAUGUCUACAGUCUCAGAUCAACACAGCCCUGCCCCCCAGCACUAUCAGCAACAUGAGCAGCAGCAACUCUUCAACAGCAACAUUGUACCCAUCGGCAUGUCUUUAUCCUGUUUUCCUUCUCUCACCCCAACCGGUCGCAGCAGAUGGCCCCGCCCCUCCCUGAGCCUGGUUCUGCCGGAGGUUUCUUCCUGUUAAAAGGGAGUUUUUCCUUCCCACUGUCGCCAAAGUGCUUGCUCAUAGGGGGUCAUUUGAUUGUUGGGUUUUUCUCUGUAUCUAUUAUUGUACGAUCUACUGUACAAUAUAAAGUGCCUUGAUGCGACUGUUGUUGUGAUUUGGCGCUAUAUAAAUAAAAUUGAAUUGAAUUGAAUUGAUGUUCAUGUUCCAAAGACAUGCAGCUUGUGGGAAUAGGUUAAUUGGAUAAUCGAAAUUGUCACUAGGUGUGAAUGUGCGAGUGAAUGUGAGUGUGAAUGGUUGUCUGUCCUGUGUGUUGGCCCUGCAACAGAUUGGUGACCUUUCCAGGGUGUACCCCGCCUCUCGCCCUAUGACAGCUGGGAUAGGCUCCAGCGCCCCCCGCGACCCUGAAAAGGAUAAGCGGAAGCGAAUGGAUGGAUGAAUUGAAUUGAGUUGAAAGUGAGAUGACUUUAGUCUCAUGAACAACAUCCGCUAAUUGUUAUUCAUAGCUAAUCUUAAAAUGACUGUUCAGUACAGAAAUUCACCCAACAAUCAUGUUUUUACCGUCCCGUGGUCAUGUAAAAACAAAUGAGCAAACAAUGCUGUAUGAAAUUUGUCCAACGGUUAGUAUCAUGGUUGCUAGGCAACCUGGGCAGCGUAACGGGGUAGACCGUCCAAUUUCUCAAGCCUCGCACUUCCGGCC